RNAcentral lists this ribosomal RNA (492 nucleotides) under uncultured bacterium. Its description in RNAcentral is "partial 16S ribosomal RNA". It matches the Rfam family "Bacterial small subunit ribosomal RNA", at positions 29 to 507 of the family's 1533-position model. The record is from RNAcentral.
AGUGAACGCUGGCGGUAGGCCUAACACAUGCAAGUCGAACGGCAGCACAGUAAGAGCUUGCUCUUACGGGUGGCGAGUGGCGGACGGGUGAGGAAUACAUCGGAAUCUACUUUUUCGUGAGGGAUAACGUAGGGAAACUUACGCUAAUACCGCAUACGACCUACGGGUGAAAGCAGAGGAUCUUCGGACCUUGCGCGAUUGAAUGAGCCGAUGUCGGAUUAGCUAGUUGGCGGGGUAAAGGCCCACCAAGGCGACGAUCCGUAGCUGGUCUGAGAGGAUGAUCAGCCACACUGGAACUGAGACACGGUCCAGACUCCUACGGGAGGCAGCAGUGGGGAAUAUUGGACAAUGGGCGCAAGCCUGAUCCAGCCAUACCGCGUGGGUGAAGAAGGCCUUCGGGUUGUAAAGCCCUUUUGUUGGGAAAGAAAAGCAGCAGGUUAAUACCCCGCUGUUCUGACGGUACCCAAAGAAUAAGCACCGGCUAACUUCGUG